UAGGGAAUAUUGGACAAUGGGGGCAACCCUGAUCCAGCCAUGCCGCGUGAGUGAAGAAGGCCCUCGGGUUGUAAAGCUCUUUUGUCCGGAAAGAAAAGCAUUCGGUGAAUACCCGGAUGUUCUGACGGUACCGGAAGAAUAAGCUCCGGCUAACUACGUGACAGCAGCCGCGGUAAUACGUAGGGAGCAAGCGUUGUUCGGAUUUACUGGGCGUAAAGGGCGCGUAGGCGGCGCGGUAAGUCACUUGUGAAAUCUCUGAGCUUAACUCAGAACGGCCAAGUCAUACUGCUGUGCUAGAGUGCGGAAGAGGCAACCGGAAUUCUUGGUGUAGCGGUGAAAUGCGUAGAUAUCAAGAGGAACACCUGAGGCGAAGGCGGGUUGCUGGGCCGACACUGACGCUGAUGCGCGAAAGCCAGGGGAGCAAACG
This 427-nucleotide ribosomal RNA is filed under the name uncultured bacterium. RNAcentral's name for it is "bacterial SSU rRNA". It matches the Rfam family "Bacterial small subunit ribosomal RNA", at positions 355 to 774 of the family's 1533-position model. The record is from RNAcentral.